GACGAACGCUGGCGGCGUGCCUAAUACAUGCAAGUAGAACGCACAGUUUAUACCGUAGCUUGCUACACCAUAGACUGUGAGUUGCGAACGGGUGAGUAACGCGUAGGUAACCUGCCUGGUAGCGGGGGAUAACUAUUGGAAACGAUAGCUAAUACCGCAUAAUAUUAAUUAUUGCAUGAUAAUUAAUUGAAAGGUGCAAUUGCACCACUACCAGAUGGACCUGCGUUGUAUUAGCUAGUAGGUGAGGUAACGGCUCACCUAGGCGACGAUACAUAGCCGACCUGAGAGGGUGAUCGGCCACACUGGGACUGAGACACGGCCCAGACUCCUACGGGAGGCAGCAGUAGGGAAUCUUCGGCAAUGGACGAAAGUCUGACCGAGCAGCGCCGCGUGAGUGAAGAAGGUUGUCGGAUCGUAAAGCUCUGUUGUAAGAGAAGAACGGGUGUGAGAGUGGAAAGUUCACACUGUGACGGUAUCUUACCAGAAAGGGACGGCUAACUACGUG
This 505-nucleotide ribosomal RNA is filed under the name uncultured bacterium. RNAcentral describes it as "partial 16S ribosomal RNA". It matches the Rfam family "Bacterial small subunit ribosomal RNA", at positions 28 to 507 of the family's 1533-position model. The record is from RNAcentral.